UACAGAGACUGCAAGCGUUAUUCGGAUUCACUGGGCGUAAAGGGUGCGCAGGCGGCCGAGUGUGUGAGGCGUGAAAGCCCGGGGCUUAACCCCGGAAUUGCACCUCAAACUACACGGCUAGAGCAUUGGAGAGGGUAGCAGAAUUCACGGUGUAGCAGUGAAAUGCGUAGAUAUCGUGAGGAAUACCAGAGGCGAAGGCGGCUACCUGGACAGAAACUGACGCUGAGGCGCGAAAGCUAGGGGAGCGAACGGG
This 253-nucleotide ribosomal RNA is filed under the name uncultured bacterium. RNAcentral's name for it is "partial 16S ribosomal RNA". It matches the Rfam family "Bacterial small subunit ribosomal RNA", at positions 524 to 776 of the family's 1533-position model. The record is from RNAcentral.